ACAAACUUGGUCAUUUAGAGGAAGUAAAAGUCGUAACAAGGUAACCGUAGGUGAACCUGCGGUUGGAUCAUUACCGAAAAAGAUCAUAGCUUUUGCUAGCUUAGCCACUCUUUCCAGCAGUGGAAGGGUGGCCAACAGCAACGACAUUUUUGUGAACUGUAUUGAAAAUGGCGGUGGGGUGAGGUCCGCAUACACUGAAUAUGUUUUCAGGUUCCCAUUGGCUUCACCUUGUCAGCUUAGGGGCCCGGGGGACAUUUGGGCCCCUCUUGCCGUGGACAAACCGCCAACUUUUUCCAACACCUGCCAUUUUCAUCCGGUCUUACUUCACCUGUAUUGAACGAAAACAACUUUUGGCAACGGAUCUCUUGGCUCUCGCAUCGAUGAAGAACGCAGC
Molecule: unclassified non-coding RNA, 394 nt
Filed under: uncultured fungus
Lineage: Eukaryota; Fungi
Description: partial contains small subunit ribosomal RNA, internal transcribed spacer 1, and 5.8S ribosomal RNA
Rfam family: Eukaryotic small subunit ribosomal RNA (bases 1-73)
Source: RNAcentral